AUACAUUAUAUUUUGCCCAAAGCAUAUUAGGAUAUAAGGUGUUAUCAAGAGUGAUGCAAGCUUAAUUUGUUUUGUCCUUGUUUCUUACCCUAGGAAGACAGGUCUGUUGUUACUGUAAAGAGGUGAAAUGGGAUGGAUGCAUAGUAACAAAGGGUGCUGAGCUAAAGACGUUAGUUAGAGCACUGCACUUGCUCUUGAUGGGAGAACCUGGCCAUAAGUCCACACACAGGACAGACACCUUCCCGAGCUUCCCCUCAUACGUGACAAAAGAUCCUGCGCAGUGCCAGCAAGCUGCUGUAAGGCUUGAGAUUUCCUGGAUAUCCUCAUUUUGUGCCAUGCCAGAUGUUAAUACAAUUUUUAUUUUGGAAUCCUUUUAUUUUUAGAUUGGGAAAAGCAUGUUUUGUAUGUAAGAGAUCUCAAACCUCUUGUGAGGUGAGGCUAUGUCACAGUAUUAUAAGCUAUGCUUGUCUGUAAGCAAAAGAUGCACAAAUGUAGGAAGAUUUUUUUUUCAGUAUGCAUUUUAACCUCUAGGAUGAAAAGGGCUUCUCAGCUAUGAGAUCAUUUAAAACUAUGUACACUUAUAGCAGGAAAAUACAGCUUUGUAAUCAAAAUUGGAGUAGUUCCAUUCACAUGCUUCUUGGAAUUAAACCUAUGGGAAGCUUAUGUGACCAAACAUACCAAAGUGCCUGUGAUGAAUAUCGAGUGCUCCUUUUGCACUCUCCUCCUGUCUAAAAGAUGAAAGUGUGCCUCAGUUUGUAAUGUAACACGUACAGUUGUAACACAGUCUGUGGCUCUUCACAGCACACCCCAGGUAGUCAUACCGUCAGAGUAAUCUCUCUCCUGCCAUCUGACACCUUCCUCUGAAUCCUGUUUAUAAAUCUUUUUUCAUUAGUGAGUAGGAUUGUGAGAAAGUUUGUGUAGGUACACACAUGAACAUAUAUGCACAUAAAAUAUUCAAGGGUGGCAUUUUAGUUGCAGGAGAAAGGCAGGUUAUAUUAAAACUAGUUGCUUGACCAUGGUAUUAGCUUUUUUUUUCCUUAAGUGUGUUUUUAAUUAAGUCCAUUUAAGAGCUUCUGUCUAUAAAAGAGAUUUUUUUCCUGAAAUUGUAUCAUGGCAAUCGUUUUUUCACCAACAACCUAUCUAUCUUAGUUUUGCAUCCAUAGACUUAGUUAAGUGUGUAUUUUAUUUAAUGGAAUGCUUUUCAUAACUAAUUAGGCAAAUUGAGUAGAGUUAAGGGUACAAUCCCCUAAUAAAUCAGUAUGAUCCCUACUACAGUCACAAAAGCUGGUGCCAAUGAGUUCAGAUACAGUGCCCCCACGUGCAUCAUCUGAGUCUUCAAGUAGCAUCUCCAGUCUAAGUGGAAAGGAGACAGAAGGUCUAGUAAUACUAGUCCACUUAGUUGUAGUUCUGAGUGCUGCAUGAGGAGGGCUGACUUGCCAUCAAGGCACACUCCAGUGUCCUAAAGAUAUAAAAUAGAUAGAUACUUUUAGUUCUCAAAAUGUUAACUUUUAGUUUUUAAUGACUUACCUAGGAAAAAAGAAUGUUACAUUUUCUACUUUGAGCCAAACCAAUGAGGGAAAUUAGUGAUUUGAAGUACAGCUCUCCUAACUUAUUCAUGUGGUGGCUUAUCCUGUGCCUUAAAGUACAAAGGUGUUUUCAAGUUUCAGGUGAAAACAGAAGCAGCCUUGCAACCAUAUGUACUACCAUUUGUAUUUUGCACUCUAUAUUUCUUGUACAGGCAGUCCCUAUGCAGAGGUGUUUAGGAUUAGUUUAAAAAACCUCAGGCAGAUACAGAGAGUGCAGCCUGCUGCAGUGAAUGGUCCCAUCUGGAUUACCCACUGUAGGGUAAUAGAGGGUGGUUCUUGUUUUUUGUUGUUUGUUUGUUUGUUUUAAUCAUAGAAUGUCCUUUUUGCUUAAUUUUAUAUAACAGCACAUGUAUUUAUUCAAUAAAACUUUUAUGUUAGU
RNAcentral lists this long non-coding RNA (1965 nucleotides) under Mus musculus (house mouse). RNAcentral's name for it is "long non-coding RNA chr12:116371123-116373088". The record is from RNAcentral. Lineage: Eukaryota; Metazoa; Chordata; Mammalia; Rodentia; Muridae.